UCUUGGUCAUUUAGAGGAAGUAAAAGUCGUAACAAGGCUUCCGUAGGUGAACCUGCGGAAGGAUCAUUAAAGAAAUUUAAUAAUUUUGAAAAUGGAUUUUUUUGUUUUGGCAAGAGCAUGAGAGCUUUUACUGGGCAAGAAGACAAGAGAUGGAGAGUCCAGCCGGGCCUGCGCUUAAGUGCGCGGUCUUGCUAGGCUUGUAAGUUUCUUUCUUGCUAUUCCAAACGGUGAGAGAUUUCUGUGCUUUUGUUAUAGGACAAUUAAAACCGUUUCAAUACAACACACUGUGGAGUUUUCAUAUCUUUGCAACUUUUUCUUUGGGCAUUCGAGCAAUCGGGGCCCAGAGGUAACAAACACAAACAAUUUUAUCUAUUCAUUAAAUUUUUGUCAAAAACAAGAAUUUUCGUAACUGGAAAUUUUAAAAUAUUAAAAACUUUCAACAACGGAUCUCUUGGUUCUCGCAUCGAUGAAGAACGCAGCGAAAUGCGAUACGUAAUGUGAAUUGCAGAAUUCCGUGAAUCAUCGAAUCUUUGAACGCACAUUGCGCCCCUUGGUAUUCCAGGGGGCAUGCCUGUUUGAGCGUCAUUUCCUUCUCAAACAUUCUGUUUGGUAGUGAGGUGAUACUCUUUGGAGUUAACUUGAAAUUGCUGGCCUUUUCAUUGGAUGUUUUUUUUCCAAAGAGAGGUUUCUCUGCGUGCUUGAGGUAUAAUGCAAGUACGGUCGUUUUAGGUUUUACCAACUGCGGCUAAUCUUUUUUUAUACUGAGCGUAUUGGAACGUUAUCGAUAAGAAGAGAGCGUCUAGGCGAACAAUGUUCUUAAAGUUUGACCUCAAAUCAGGUAGGAGUACCCGCUGAACUUAAGCAUAUCAAUAAGCGGAG
RNAcentral lists this ribosomal RNA (879 nucleotides) under uncultured fungus. Its description in RNAcentral is "eukaryotic LSU rRNA". The stretch from base 432 to 585 matches the Rfam family "5.8S ribosomal RNA". Lineage: Eukaryota; Fungi. The record is from RNAcentral.